AGUGAACGCUGGCGGUAGGCCUAACACAUGCAAGUCGAACGGCAGCACAGUAAGAGCUUGCUCUUACGGGUGGCGAGUGGCGGACGGGUGAGGAAUACAUCGGAAUCUACUUUUUCGUGGGGGAUAACGUAGGGAAACUUACGCUAAUACCGCAUACGACCUACGGGUGAAAGCAGGGGAUCUUCGGACCUUGCGCGAUUGAAUGAGCCGAUGUCGGAUUAGCUAGUUGGCGGGGUAAAGGCCCACCAAGGCGACGAUCCGUAGCUGGUCUGAGAGGAUGAUGAGCGACAAGUGAACUGAGAAGCGGUGGAGGCGCCGGCGGGAGGCAGCAGUGGGGAGUGGUGGAGCAGGGGGGCAAGCCUGAUCCAGCAAUACGGCGUGGGUGAAGAGGGCCUUCGGGUUGUAGAGCCGGUUGGUUGGGAAAGAAAAGAAGCAGGUCAGUAAACGUCGGGCCUGACGGUGCACAAAUAAUAAGAACGGGCUACUUCGUUG
RNAcentral lists this ribosomal RNA (492 nucleotides) under uncultured bacterium. Its description in RNAcentral is "partial 16S ribosomal RNA". It matches the Rfam family "Bacterial small subunit ribosomal RNA", at positions 30 to 507 of the family's 1533-position model. The record is from RNAcentral.